Molecule: ribosomal RNA, 425 nt
Filed under: uncultured bacterium
Lineage: Bacteria
Description: partial 16S ribosomal RNA
Rfam family: Bacterial small subunit ribosomal RNA
Source: RNAcentral
GUGGGGAAUAUUGGACAAUGGGCGAAAGCCUGAUCCAGCAAUGCCGCGUGAGUGAUGAAGGCCUUAGGGUUGUAAAGCUCUUUUACCAGGGAUGAUAAUGACAGUACCUGGAGAAUAAGCUCCGGCUAACUCCGUGCCAGCAGCCGCGGUAAUACGGAGGGAGCUAGCGUUGUUCGGAAUUACUGGGCGUAAAGCGCGCGUAGGCGGCUCAGCAAGUCAGGGGUGAAAUCCCGGGGCUCAACCCCGGAACUGCCUUUGAAACUGCUAGGCUAGAAUCCUGGAGAGGCGAGUGGAAUUCCGAGUGUAGAGGUGAAAUUCGUAGAUAUUCGGAAGAACACCAGUGGCGAAGGCGACUCGCUGGACAGGUAUUGACGCUGAGGUGCGAAAGCGUGGGGAGCAAACAGGAUUAGAUACCCCUGUAGUCC